CUCCAACACUCAGAACUCUGAAUGUAGCCCACGUCCAUUGUUCUCGUACCUUCUUCCAUAGCAGGAAGCUGCUCAUCUAGGACCUCGGGACAUGGUUUUGAAUGGAUUGUUAGAUCAUUUGUUUGAUCCUUUUCCAAUUUUGAGCUGCUCUUCUGGGGAAGAAAAUCUGCUCCACUUGCAGGAUACUUAAGUCCAGCAGUGGAGGAAGAAUAAUUGAAAGAGCCCACAGUUGAGUUCAAGGCAAAAAGACACUUGCUUCCAUGUGAGAAUGACUGAGAAUACUGUCUUGGUUGGGUAAAAGUCAUCAUGAAGAGGAUCAGGGACCUCUGCAUCUCCAAGUAUAUUUCUACCUCCCAGCUGUGAACCCAGACUAGGGCAUCCAUUGAAUAAACAAUGAUUCCAUA
Non-coding RNA from Oryctolagus cuniculus (rabbit), 404 nucleotides. The record is from RefSeq and is a predicted model, not a curated record. NCBI's taxonomy places the organism in Eukaryota, Metazoa, Chordata, Mammalia, Lagomorpha, Leporidae.